Molecule: unclassified non-coding RNA, 441 nt
Filed under: Hevea brasiliensis (rubber tree)
Lineage: Eukaryota; Viridiplantae; Streptophyta; Magnoliopsida; Malpighiales; Euphorbiaceae
Source: RNAcentral
ACCAUGCAGAUUGGAAUGGCACUGUAAGUUUUAUCCUUUUACACAAUAGUGGUUAUUCAGUCAUAGGCUAUUAUAGUGGAUUGGGCACAAUGAAGAUAUAAUUAUAUGUACAGGAAUUUUGGUGAUAUGGUCAUGCUCUUUAUAUCAGAGCAUAGAUUGGUUUUGAAAUUAUCACCUUUGAUAUUUCAUUCACUGAUGCUAUGAUGGUGAUCUGUUUAUCCUUUAUAAGUCUAUAACACUUUAGGGGAAAUCUUUUGCAAUAAAUUUCAUAUGGAAUUAUUGGUUUAUUCAUUAGUAACAGCAAGGGGCUUACUGCUAGAAUUUUUAGGUUAUGAUAUGACUCCUAAUGGUUUAACUAUUUUAUUUGAAAAGCAUGUUGGUUUAUCUUGGUGGCAUAUAAUUGGUUCUGCAUCACAGGAAGUUGCUGUGAAGAAAUUUUUG